AUUGAACGCUGGCGGCAGGCCUAACACAUGCAUGUCGAGCGGAUGAAGGGAGCUUGCUCCUGGAUUCAGCGGCGGACGGGUGAGUAAUGCCUAGGAAUCUGCCUGGUAGUGGGGGAUAACGUCCGGAAACGGGCGCUAAUACCGCAUACGUCCUGAGGGAGAAAGUGGGGGAUCUUCGGACCUCACGCUAUCAGAUGAGCCUAGGUCGGAUUAGCUAGUUGGUGGGGUAAAGGCCUACCAAGGCGACGAUCCGUAACUGGUCUGAGAGGAUGAUCAGUCACACUGGAACUGAGACACGGUCCAGACUCCUACGGGAGGCAGCAGUGGGGAAUAUUGGACAAUGGGCGAAAGCCUGAUCCAGCCAUGCCGCGUGUGUGAAGAAGGUCUUCGGAUUGUAAAGCACUUUAAGUUGGGAGGAAGGGCAGUAAGUUAAUACCUUGCUGUUUUGGCGUUACCAACAGAAUAAGCACCGGCUAACUUCGUG
Molecule: ribosomal RNA, 484 nt
Filed under: uncultured bacterium
Lineage: Bacteria
Description: partial 16S ribosomal RNA
Rfam family: Bacterial small subunit ribosomal RNA
Source: RNAcentral